Molecule: long non-coding RNA, 122 nt
Organism: Sinocyclocheilus anshuiensis
Lineage: Eukaryota; Metazoa; Chordata; Actinopteri; Cypriniformes; Cyprinidae
Exons: 3
Source: RefSeq, a predicted model, not a curated record
GGAUAGUUCCAGUCCUUGAUUCUUAUUGGUUGAGCCGCGUUCGAAGAUGUUGUAAAUUACUCUACAAACAAACACCUUUGUUUACUUCUGUGUGUUGCUGGGCAAAUGUCAUCUCCGUCACA